This 274-nucleotide ribosomal RNA is filed under the name uncultured bacterium. RNAcentral's name for it is "partial 16S ribosomal RNA". It matches the Rfam family "Bacterial small subunit ribosomal RNA", at positions 523 to 796 of the family's 1533-position model. The record is from RNAcentral.
AUACGGAGGGUGCAAGCGUUACUCGGAAUCACUGGGCGUAAAGGACGCGUAGGCGGGAUAGUAAGUCUGAUGUGAAAUCCUAUGGCUCAACCAUAGAACUGCAUUGGAAACUACUGACCUAGAGUAUGGGAGGGGGAGAUGGAAUUAGUAGUGUAGGGGUAAAAUCCGUAGAUAUUACUAGGAAUACCGAAAGCGAAGGCGAUCUCCUGGAACAAUACUGACGCUAAGGCGUGAAAGCGUAGGGAGCAAACAGGAUUAGAAACCCCAGUAGUCC